This 468-nucleotide ribosomal RNA is filed under the name uncultured bacterium. Its description in RNAcentral is "partial 16S ribosomal RNA". It matches the Rfam family "Bacterial small subunit ribosomal RNA", at positions 28 to 507 of the family's 1533-position model. The record is from RNAcentral.
GACGAACGCUGGCGGCGUGCUUAACACAUGCAAGUCGAACGGAAAGGCCCUGCUUUUGUGGGGUGCUCGAGUGGCGAACGGGUGAGUAACACGUGAGUAACCUGCCCUUGACUUUGGGAUAACUUCAGGAAACUGGGGCUAAUAUCGGAUAAGAGCUCCUGCUGCAUGGUGGGGGUUGGAAAGUUUCGGCGGUUGGGGAUGGACUCGCGGCUUAUCAGCUUGUUGGUGGGGUAGUGGCUUACCAAGGCUUUGACGGGUAGCCGGCCUGAGAGGGUGACCGGCCACAUUGGGACUGAGAUACGGCCCAGACUCCUACGGGAGGCAGCAGUGGGGAAUAUUGCACAAUGGGCGGAAGCCUGAUGCAGCAACGCCGCGUGCGGGAUGACGGCCUUCGGGUUGUAAACCGCUUUCGCCUGUGACGAAGCGUGAGUGACGGUAAUGGGUAAAGAAGCACCGGCUAACUACGUG